AGGGGUGUGGCUCAGUGGUAAAGCUCUUACCUAGCACGCAUGAGGCUUUGGAUUCAAUUCCCAGUACCACCA
This 72-nucleotide transfer RNA is filed under the name Cavia porcellus (domestic guinea pig). It matches the Rfam family "tRNA". Rfam says of the family: Transfer RNA (tRNA) molecules are approximately 80 nucleotides in length. Their secondary structure includes four short double-helical elements and three loops (D, anti-codon, and T loops). Lineage: Eukaryota; Metazoa; Chordata; Mammalia; Rodentia; Caviidae. The record is from Rfam by way of RNAcentral.